UCGCGGCGGUGCGCGCAGAAGGGUCUGGGCUCGAGCCUGCCUGGAGCCGCCGCCGGUGCAGAUCUUGGUGGUAGUAGCAAAUACUCCAGCGAGGCCCUGGAGGACUGAUGUGGAGAAGGGUUUCGUGUGAACAGCCGUUGCACACGAGUCAGUCGAUCCUAAGCCCUAGGAGAAAUCCGAUGCAAACGGCGAUGGGAAACGCAUUGACUCAGUACAAUAAGUCAGAGACCCAUUGAACGGGCGAAAGGGAAUCCGGUUCCUAUUCCGGAACCCGGCUGCGGAACCGUUGUUUGUCGGGCCCUCGCAAGGGGUUCGUCAGGGCAACCUAAAAGGGCCCGGAGACGCCGUCGGGGGCCCCGGAAAGAGUUUUCUUUUCUCCAUGAGCGUUCGAGUUCCCUGGAAUCCUCUCGCAGGGAGAUAGGGUUUGGAACGCGAAGAGCACCGCAGUUGCGGCGGUGCACGGGAAUUCCCGACGGACCUUGAAAAUCCGGGAGAGGGCCACGUGGAGGUGUCGCGCCGGUUCGUACCCAUAUCCGCAGCAGGUCUCCAAGGUGAAGAGCCUCUAGUC
RNAcentral lists this ribosomal RNA (568 nucleotides) under Tholymis tillarga. RNAcentral describes it as "eukaryotic LSU rRNA". It matches the Rfam family "Eukaryotic large subunit ribosomal RNA", at positions 1389 to 1888 of the family's 3401-position model. The record is from RNAcentral. Lineage: Eukaryota; Metazoa; Arthropoda; Insecta; Odonata; Libellulidae.